Molecule: long non-coding RNA, 226 nt
Organism: Limanda limanda (common dab)
Lineage: Eukaryota; Metazoa; Chordata; Actinopteri; Pleuronectiformes; Pleuronectidae
Exons: 3
Source: RefSeq, a predicted model, not a curated record
CACACACACACACAAACAAAGAGGCGUUAGGCUGAGACGCUGAAAGUCCGGAUUUAAAGUGCAGAAAAUUAAGCCAUUGAAUCUGCCUGUCCAUUACGUACAAACACACACUAUGAGCCAGUAUGAUCCGACCAGACCUUACAUCAGCAUUGAGGAGUUGUCGGAGAAGAAAGAGGCUGAUUGAAGCGGGACAGAUGACAUGGAUCCAUCCUUCCACAGCCAGGAC